GAUGAACGCUGGCGGCGUGCCUAAUACAUGCAAGUCGAGCGAACAGACGAGGAGCUUGCUCCUCUGACGUUAGCGGCGGACGGGUGAGUAACACGUGGAUAACCUACCUAUAAGACUGGGAUAACUUCGGGAAACCGGAGCUAAUACCGGAUAAUAUAUUGAACCGCAUGGUUCAAUAGUGAAAGACGGUUUUGCUGUCACUUAUAGAUGGAUCCGCGCCGCAUUAGCUAGUUGGUAAGGUAACGGCUUACCAAGGCAACGAUGCGUAGCCGACCUGAGAGGGUGAUCGGCCACACUGGAACUGAGACACGGUCCAGACUCCUACGGGAGGCAGCAGUAGGGAAUCUUACGCAAUGGGCGAAAGCUUGACGGAGCAACGCGGCGUGAGUGAUGAAGGUCUUCGGAUCGUAAAACUCUGUUAUUAGGGAAGAACAAAUGUGUAAGUAACUAUGCACGUCUUGACGGUACCUAAUCAGAAAGCCACGGCUAACUACGUG
RNAcentral lists this ribosomal RNA (497 nucleotides) under uncultured bacterium. RNAcentral's name for it is "partial 16S ribosomal RNA". It matches the Rfam family "Bacterial small subunit ribosomal RNA", at positions 28 to 507 of the family's 1533-position model. The record is from RNAcentral.